Molecule: ribosomal RNA, 253 nt
Filed under: uncultured bacterium
Lineage: Bacteria
Description: partial 16S ribosomal RNA
Rfam family: Bacterial small subunit ribosomal RNA
Source: RNAcentral
UACAGAGGUCUCAAGCGUUGUUCGGAUUCAUUGGGCGUAAAGGGUGCGUAGGUGGCGCUGUAAGUCGGGUGUGAAAUUUCGGAGCUUAACUCCGAAACUGCAUUCGAUACUGCGGUGCUUGAGGACUGGAGAGGAGACUGGAAUUCAUGGUGUAGCAGUGAAAUGCGUAGAGAUCAUGAGGAAGACCAGUGGCGAAGGCGGGUCUCUGGACAGUAACUGACGCUGAGGCACGAAGGCCAGGGGAGCAAACGGG